RNAcentral lists this ribosomal RNA (473 nucleotides) under uncultured bacterium. Its description in RNAcentral is "SSU rRNA". It matches the Rfam family "Bacterial small subunit ribosomal RNA", at positions 26 to 518 of the family's 1533-position model. The record is from RNAcentral.
AGGACGAACGCUGGCGGCGUGCUUAACACAUGCAAGUCGAGCGGAAAGGCCCUUCGGGGUACUCGAGCGGCGAACGGGUGAGUAACACGUGAGUAAUCUGCCCCUAGCUCUGGGAUAGCUCCGGGAAACCGGGAUUAAUACCGGAUACGACCACCUUAGACAUCUUUUGUGGUGGAAAGAAUUUCGGCUAGGGAUGAGCUCGCGGCCUAUCAGCUUGUUGGUGGGUAACGGCCUACCAAGGCGACGACGGGUAGCCGGCCUGAGAGGGCGACCGGCCACACUGGGACUGAGACACGGCCCAGACUCCUACGGGAGGCAGCAGUGGGAAUAUUGCGCAAUGGGCGAAAGCCUGACGCAGCGACGCCGCGUGGGGGAUGGAAGGCCUUCGGGUUGUAAACCCCUUUCAGCAGGGACGAAGCGAAAGUGACGGUACUGCAGAAGAAGCGCCGGCUAACUACGUCGCCAGCAGCCGC